GACGAACGCUGGCGGCGUGCUUAACACAUGCAAGUCGAACGGAAAGGCCCUGCUUUUGUUGGGUGCUCGAGUGGCGAACAGGGGAGUAACACGUGAGGAACCUGCCCUUGACUUUGUGAUAACUUCAGGAAACUGGGGCUAAUACCGGGUAGGAGCUCCUGCUGCGUGGGGGGGGUUGGUAAGUUUCGGCGGUUGGGGCUGGACUGGCGGCUUAUCAGCUUGUUGGUGGGGUAGUGGCUUACCAAGGUUGUGAGGGGUAGACUGCAUGAGAGGGUGGCCGGCCACAUUGGGCCUGCGAUACGGCCCAGCAUCCUACGGGACGCAGCAGUGGGGAAUAUUGCACAAUGGGCGGAAGCCUGAUGCAGCAACGCCGCGUGCGGGAUGACGGGCUUCGGGUUGUAAACCGCUUUCGCAUGUGACGAAGCGUGAGUGACGGUAAUGGGUAAAGAAGCACCGGCUAACUACGUG
This 468-nucleotide ribosomal RNA is filed under the name uncultured bacterium. Its description in RNAcentral is "partial 16S ribosomal RNA". It matches the Rfam family "Bacterial small subunit ribosomal RNA", at positions 28 to 507 of the family's 1533-position model. The record is from RNAcentral.